RNAcentral lists this ribosomal RNA (301 nucleotides) under uncultured bacterium. Its description in RNAcentral is "partial 16S ribosomal RNA". It matches the Rfam family "Bacterial small subunit ribosomal RNA", at positions 509 to 807 of the family's 1533-position model. The record is from RNAcentral.
CAGUAGCCGCGGUAAUACGAAGGGGGCUAGCGUUGUUCGGAUUUACUGGGCGUAAAGCGCACGUAGGCGGACUUUUAAGUCAGGGGUGAAAUCCCGGGGCUCAACCCCGGAACUGCCUUUGAUACUGGAAGUCUUGAGUAUGGUAGAGGUGAGUGGAAUUCCGAGUGUAGAGGUGAAAUUCGUAGAUAUUCGGAGGAACACCAGUGGCGAAGGCGGCUCACUGGACCAUUACUGACGCUGAGGUGCGAAAGCGUGGGGAGCAACCAGGAUUAGAGACCCCUGUAGUCCCUGUCUCUUAUAC